CCUACGGGAGGCAGCAGUGAGGAAUAUUGGUCAAUGGACGAGAGUCUGAACCAGCCAAGUAGCGUGAGGGAUGAAUGCCCUAUGGGUUGUAAACUUCUUUUAUAUGGGAAUAAAAUCUUCCACGUGUGGGAUUUUGUAUGUACCAUGUGAAUAAGGAUCGGCUAACUCCGUGCCAGCAGCCGCGGUAAUACGGAAGAGCCGAGCGUUAUCCGGAUUUAUUGGGUUUAAAGGGAGCGUAGGUGGAGUGUUAAGUCAGUUGUGAAAUUUUGCGGCUCAACCGUCCAAGUGCAGUUAAAACUGGCCGCCUUGAGUACACUACAGGUAGGCGGAAUUCGUGGUGUAGCGGUGAAAUGCAUAGAUAUUACGCAGAACACCGAUUGCGAAGGCAGCUUGCUGGGGCGCAUCUGACACUGAUGCACGAAGGUGCGGGGAUCGAACAGGAUUAGAUACCCGGGUAGUC
RNAcentral lists this ribosomal RNA (460 nucleotides) under uncultured bacterium. Its description in RNAcentral is "partial 16S ribosomal RNA". It matches the Rfam family "Bacterial small subunit ribosomal RNA", at positions 338 to 795 of the family's 1533-position model. The record is from RNAcentral.